Molecule: ribosomal RNA, 240 nt
Filed under: Triticum aestivum (bread wheat)
Lineage: Eukaryota; Viridiplantae; Streptophyta; Magnoliopsida; Poales; Poaceae
Description: partial small subunit ribosomal RNA
Source: RNAcentral
AUGAAGAAGGGGGGGCUGCUGCGGUGCGUGUCGACGGGGGCGUGCAGGGUGGCGCCGGGGGCCGUGGCGGAGAUGGCGAUCUCGCCGUCGGCGGCGUCGGGGAAGGUGCCGGCGGGGCACGUGCCGGUGGAGGUGGGCGCGGAGGGGGAGGAGACGGAGCGCUUCCUCGUGCCGGCCGAGCUGCUGGGCCGCCCGCCCAUCGCCGAGCUGCUCCGCCGGGCCGCGCAGGAGUACGGCUAG